RNAcentral lists this ribosomal RNA (457 nucleotides) under uncultured bacterium. RNAcentral describes it as "bacterial SSU rRNA". It matches the Rfam family "Bacterial small subunit ribosomal RNA", at positions 29 to 530 of the family's 1533-position model. The record is from RNAcentral.
AACGAACGCUGGCGGCAGGCUUAACACAUGCAAGUCGAACGCCCCGCAAGGGGAGUGGCAGACGGGUGAGUAACGCGUGGGAACGUACCUUUCAGUUCGGAAUAACUCAGGGAAACUUGUGCUAAUACCGGAUACGCCCGCAAGGGGAAAGAUUUAUCGCUGAAAGAUCGGCCCGCGUUGGAUUAGCCAGUUGGUGGGGUAAAGGCCUACCAAGGCGACGAUCCAUAGCUGGUCUGAGAGGAUGAUCAGCCACACUGGGACUGAGACACGGCCCAGACUCCUACGGGAGGCAGCAGUGGGGAAUAUUGGACAAUGGGCGCAAGCCUGAUCCAGCCAUGCCGCGUGUGUGAUGAAGGCCUUAGGGUUGUAAAGCACUUUCACCGAUGAAGAUAAUGACGGUAGUCGGAGAAGAAGCCCCGGCUAACUACGUGCCAGCAGCCGCGGUAAAAGUCUCUAU